RNAcentral lists this signal recognition particle RNA (263 nucleotides) under human gut metagenome. Its description in RNAcentral is "Bacterial large signal recognition particle RNA". It matches the Rfam family "Bacterial large signal recognition particle RNA". From Rfam's summary of the family: The signal recognition particle (SRP) is a universally conserved ribonucleoprotein involved in the co-translational targeting of proteins to membranes. Archaeal SRP consists of a 7S RNA and homologues of the eukaryotic SRP19 and SRP54 proteins. In most bacteria, the SRP consists of a 4.5S RNA and the Ffh protein (a homologue of the eukaryotic SRP54 protein). The record is from RNAcentral.
CGUGCCAGGCGGGGAGAUAGCGGUGCCCUAUACCUACAAUCCGCUAAAGUAGGGCUUCAUUCCCGUCCUGAGGCGUCGGCUUGUUUAGCUGGCUCAAUUAGAGAUGUUGAGGACUGGGUCCCAUGCAAUUAUCUGCCGUGAACCAUGUCAGGUCCUGACGGAAGCAGCAUUAAGCGGAUUUGGUGAUGUGCCGUGGGCUUGCCUAGUUUGAGUCUUGAAACUGAUUACCGUUUAUGAGUCCGGCGUCGAAGGAUGGGUGCACG